UCGGGUUCUCGUAGGUGACCUGCGGAGGGACAUUACACAAAUAUGAAGGCGGGCUGGAACCUCUCGGGGUUACAGCCUUGCUGAAUUAUUCACCCUUGUCUUUUGCGUACUUCUUGUUUCCUUGGUGGGUUCGCCCACCACUAGGACAAACAUAAACCUUUUGUAAUUGCAAUCAGCGUCAGUAACAAAUUAAUAAUUACAACUUUCAACAACGGAUCUCUUGGUUCUGGCAUCGAUGAAGAACGCAGCGAAAUGCGAUAAGUAGUGUGAAUUGCAGAAUUCAGUGAAUCAUCGAAUCUUUGAACGCACAUUGCGCCCUUUGGUAUUCCAAAGGGCAUGCCUGUUCGAGCGUCAUUUGUACCCUCAAGCUUUGCUUGGUGUUGGGCGUCUUGUCUCUAGCUUUGCUGGAGACUCGCCUUAAAGUAAUUGGCAGCCGGCCUACUGGUUUCGGAGCGCAGCACAAGUCGCACUCUCUAUCAGCAAAGGUCUAGCAUCCAUUAAGCCUUUUUUUCAACUUUUGACCUCGGAUCAGGUAGGGAUACCCGCUGAACUUAAGCAUAUCAA
Molecule: ribosomal RNA, 564 nt
Filed under: Alternaria alternata
Lineage: Eukaryota; Fungi; Ascomycota; Dothideomycetes; Pleosporales; Pleosporaceae
Description: eukaryotic LSU rRNA
Rfam family: 5.8S ribosomal RNA (bases 201-354)
Source: RNAcentral